GAUGAUGAAGAGUAUGAAGAAAAAUUGAAGAAAGAGAAAUUGGCAUUCUUUUUCUUGGCAACAUAUGGAGAUGGUGAACCAACUGAUAAUGCUGCCAGAUUCUAUAAAUGGUUUGAAGAGGGGAAAGAGAGGGGUGACUGCUUUAAGAAUCUUCAGUAUGGAGUAUUUGGGCUUGGCAACAGACAAUACGAGCAUUUUAACAAGAUUGCUAAAGUUGUCGAUGAGCUUCUGGCUGAGCAAGGUGGGCAGAGGCUUGUUCCAGUGGGUCUUGGAGAUGAUGAUCAAU
RNAcentral lists this unclassified non-coding RNA (286 nucleotides) under Hevea brasiliensis (rubber tree). Lineage: Eukaryota; Viridiplantae; Streptophyta; Magnoliopsida; Malpighiales; Euphorbiaceae. The record is from RNAcentral.